RNAcentral lists this ribosomal RNA (253 nucleotides) under uncultured bacterium. RNAcentral's name for it is "partial 16S ribosomal RNA". It matches the Rfam family "Bacterial small subunit ribosomal RNA", at positions 524 to 776 of the family's 1533-position model. The record is from RNAcentral.
GACAGAGGGGGCAAGCGUUGCUCGGAAUUACUGGGCGUAAAGGGCGCGUAGGCGGACAGCUUAGUCAGAGGUGAAAGCCCAGGGCUCAACCUUGGAAAUGCCUUUGAUACUGGCUGUCUUGAGUUCGGGAGAGGUGAGUGGAAUGCCGAGUGUAGAGGUGAAAUUCGUAGAUAUUCGCAAGAACACCAGUGGCGAAGGCGGCUCACUGGCCCGAUACUGACGCUGAGGCACGAAAGCGUGGGGAGCAAACAGG